UACAGAGGCCUCGAGCGUUAGGCGGAAUCACUGGGCUUAAAGCGUGUGUAGGCGGAUGUCUAAGUGCCUUGUGAAAUCCCACGGCUUACCCGUGGAACGGCUGGGCAUACUGGAUGUCUUGAGCCACUUAGGGGCUACCGGAACAAAUGGUGGAGCGGUGAAAUGCGUAGAUAUCAUUUGGAACGCCAAUGGUGAAAACAGGUAGCUGGGAGUGUGCUGACGCUGAGACACGAAAGCCAGGGGAGCGAACGGG
RNAcentral lists this ribosomal RNA (253 nucleotides) under uncultured prokaryote. RNAcentral describes it as "partial 16S ribosomal RNA". It matches the Rfam family "Bacterial small subunit ribosomal RNA", at positions 524 to 776 of the family's 1533-position model. The record is from RNAcentral.